Pelobates cultripes (western spadefoot toad) is the source of this 208-nucleotide non-coding RNA. The record is from the annotation of a GenBank genome assembly. NCBI's taxonomy places the organism in Eukaryota, Metazoa, Chordata, Amphibia, Anura, Pelobatidae.
AAACAAACAAACAACAACAAAAAAUAAAAUACCCGCAAUGUAAAAGACAAAGUGAAUUGAGAAAUGUUCACUAUCUUUUUUUUUUUAAUUGCUGGUGCUCACUCAAGAGGCCUCCAACACAGUUUACCAUUACAGAAGGCAGUUGUCUAGUCCUCUUGUGACAUUUCAUAUCUAAACUGCCUCUGUUAGCGCAAUCAUCCUGAUAUCC